UGGGGAAUCUUCCGCAAUGGGCGAAAGCCUGACGGAGCAACGCCGCGUGAGUGAAGACGGCCUUCGGGUUGUAAAGCUCUGUUAUACGGGANNAUAUUUUUUUUUUAUAAACAAAAAGAAANNNNGACGGUACCGUAAGAGAAAGCCACGGCUAACUACGUGCCAGCAGCCGCGGUAAUACGUAGGUGGCAAGCGUUGUCCGGAAUUAUUGGGCGUAAAGGGCGCGCAGGCGGCUUCUUAAGUCUGUCUUAAAAGUGCGGGGCUUAACCCCGUGAUGGGAUGGAAACUGCUGAUCUAGAGUAUCGGAGAGGAGAGUGGAAUUCCUAGUGUAGCGGUGAAAUGCGUAGAUAUUAGGAAGAACACCAGUGGCGAAGGCGACUUUCUGGACGAAAACUGACGCUGAGGCGCGAAAGCCAGGGGAGCGAACGGGAUUAGAUACCCCGGUAGUCCUGGCCGUAAACGAUGGGUACUAGGUGUAGGAGGUAUCGACCCCUUCUGUGCCGGAGUUAACGCAAUAAGUACCCCGCCUGGGGAGUACGACCGCAAGGUUG
Molecule: ribosomal RNA, 551 nt
Filed under: uncultured bacterium
Lineage: Bacteria
Description: bacterial SSU rRNA
Rfam family: Bacterial small subunit ribosomal RNA
Source: RNAcentral